RNAcentral lists this transfer RNA (73 nucleotides) under Patescibacteria group bacterium. RNAcentral describes it as "tRNA-Val". It matches the Rfam family "tRNA". Rfam says of the family: Transfer RNA (tRNA) molecules are approximately 80 nucleotides in length. Their secondary structure includes four short double-helical elements and three loops (D, anti-codon, and T loops). Further hydrogen bonds mediate the characteristic L-shaped molecular structure. tRNAs have two regions of fundamental functional importance: the anti-codon, which is responsible for specific mRNA codon recognition, and the 3' end, to which the tRNAs corresponding amino acid is attached (by aminoacyl-tRNA synthetases). tRNAs cope with the degeneracy of the genetic code in two manners: having more than one tRNA (with a specific anti-codon) for a particular amino acid; and 'wobble' base-pairing, i.e. permitting non-standard base-pairing at the 3rd anti-codon position. The record is from RNAcentral.
GGGCGAUUAGCUCAGUUGGUAGAGCAGCGCUUUUACACAGCGAAGGUCACAGGUUCGAGUCCUGUAUCGCCCA